CACGAGGAUCCACCGGAGGACAUGGUCAUCGCUUCGUUCACUCUUAAAGGAGAUCACAUCCGAAGGCUGAAGGAACUGAUUUCCGCCAAAGCCGGAGCCAUGGAGGGAGGCGGCGCAUCCCUCCGCUGCUCCACCAUCAUGGCGACCUACGCUUACGUUUGGGUGUGCCUAAUCAAAGCACGAGCAUACGGAAGCGACCGGACUGCCCACUUCAUGUUUGCUGCCGACUGCAGAGGAAGGCUGAGGCCCCCUCUGCCGGCGGCGUACUUCGGGAACUGCCUCGGCGCCUGCUUCGUCGAAGUGAAGGCAGGCGAACUCCUACGAGAAAAUGGGGUCGUCUCGGCUGCGAAAGCUAUUGGCAAAGCCAUAGAAAGAUUCGGAGACGAUCCUUUACGAGGUGCAGAGACAUGGCCGGAGAGAAUCAAGUAUGUCGCGCUUCAGCAACCAUUAAGCGUGGCGGGAUCACCCAGGUUUCGGGUGUACGAUCUGGAUUUUGGGUGGGGAAGGCCGAAGAAGGUGGAGGUCACCUCCAUCGUGAGGUCAGGAGCCAUGUCUCUGGCGGAGAGCAGAGACGAAGAUGGUGGGGUGGAGAUCGGGAUGGGUCUCCUAAAGCAUGAGAUGGAUGAGUUCGCGACCCACUUCAUCGAUGGCCUCGAUCGAUUGCAAUAAUCAUUUCUUGGAAGGUUUUCAGCAUCAAUUAUUUCUCUCUUAAAACAUAUAUGAAGCUUUAAUUGUCUCUAUCUAUGAACUCAGUCAGCAUUUCAGACUGGGAAUAUUUCGAAAUGUUUGUAAAUAUGGACAAUUAAUAAUUGCAUGGGAAUAUUUCGAUUUGAUCCAAAGAUAAUAUUUUAAGGAAAGUAAGCUUAAAUCCAUUAAUUUCCCAACAAAGUGGCCAUGGAAAUUAUGUGUUAAAUGAGUUAUCUACUGGGUCCUGAUAUUUAUUGUUUUACUAAAAGUAAAAAACUAAUAUUAUGUUAGAAAAUCUAGUACAAUAUUCUCCUUUGAUAUUAUAGCAGAUUAACUUAAAAAUAAUCUGAGUCAUUCUUUUCUCAAAAAAAAAAAAGAAGAAGAGGAUAUUGAUAUUAUAAACCUGAUUAUUUUAUCUAUAAACUUAUGUAAUUUUUUUUAUAUGAAAAAAAUUUACCUGAUAUUUCAAAGAUAAAAUGUUUCUUCAAGUAGUAAAGUCCAUGAUAUUUUAAAUAUAUUUUUAAAAAUAAACGAUGAAGACAGGUCUAAUCAUAUGAUCUUACUAUAUUAUGAUGAGUCAAGAUUUUUACCAGAUAAACUGGUUAAUAUUUUCAAAUAUUUAUUAGCUGAAAUUAUAGAUUCUCAAUCUUUACUACAUUAAGGCUAAUAUUUUGAGUGUUAAAAUUUGUAAUAUAAGAUUUGGAACUUUGAUCUUGAGACAAUGGAGCCCUAUGUUUCCUGUGCACAUCAAUAAUCAUCUAAUUAUUAGAUGAAGUUUUUGAAAUGAUGUUGCUGUUCUUAAAAUUUUGAUUUCUUCUCCUACUAUUUUAUUAUUCUUCAGAUUUAUUUAUUUCCUCUUUAUAUUUUAUUUCAUGAUAAAGCCAACUGAACAUGAUGGAUGGAUGAAUUAUGCCUUGUCCUUGUAAUAUUAAAUGGGAAAAACCAACAACAGGUCAGUUCAAUCUAAAUUAUCCUAUUGAUCAUAGUUAUCAAGAUGCUAAACAACAAUUACUGUAAAGACAAGACUAUUCAAAGCAUUUUAUUUGACUCUUGAUAAUAAUUUUCAAUGUGUCCAUAUCAAAUUAGACUAAAAUAAUGAUUGAUAACAUUAAUAUAUCAUCACCUCCCCUACAGAUAAUUUAAACAUACUUUUCACCUGUUGCCUAAUAUUAGCAAAUUCACUCGAUAUCUAAUAUAAUGCAUGCAUUCUCAGAAGAAAAUCAUAUGAUAUCUACUACUAAUAUACUUUUGGUUAUCUUUAAUAUCUCAAUUCUGUCACGGAGGACGCACACCCUUAUUCUAGGAAAGUACGUAAGUGCAUGCACGCAUCGCUUACUUUAUGCUGUGCCAAAUGCUGACAUAGCUCUGGUAUUAUAUAUGCGUAGCUAAAUGACCAACAUCCGCCUCCGUGUAGCGCUUCACCAAUGUCAUCGCCACCGCAACUCCGUCUGCUUCAGACAUCUCAAGUCUCUCCCCCGCCCGGGACAGCAUCCGAGUCCAUUUUGCCCCUCACCUUCUUCGACAUACUAUGGUUGCGAGGUGGAGCCGUGGAGCGAGUCUUCUUCUACCGUCUCCCCUACUCCACCUCCUAUUUCUGCGCCUCCGUCCUCCCCGACCUCGAGUCCUCCCUCUCUCUCGCUUUGCAGCAGUUCUACCCCCUCGCCGGCAAGAUCCGAAGGUCCCCCGGGCUCGAUGACGACAAGUACGAGAUCCGUUACGUCGACGGCGACUCCGUGUCGUUCACUGUGGCCGAGUACGACGCCGACUUCGAUGAGGUCUCCGGUGACCACGCACGUGAUGUCGGCUCGCUGCUACCGUUGCUUCCCCGGCUAUCGAGGUCCGACGACGACGGCGUGCCGGUGCUGGCCUUGCAGGUGACCGUGUUCCCGAACCAAGGCGUGGCCGUCGGAGUGGCGGUGCACCACGCCGGAUGCGAUGGCUCGAGCUCCAUGCGGUUCAUGUUCUCGUGGGCUUCCACAUGCGCGGGGCCGAGAAGCUCGGCGGCGGCGGUCGUGGUGCCGCCCGUCUUCGACAGGAGUUUGGUUUCUGUUCCUCGUGAUUUGUACUCCAUUUUCUACAGGUACUAUGGCCAGCGUGCUGACUGGAUCAUCCACGAGGAUCCACCGGUGGACAUGGUCAUCGCUUCGUUCGCUCUUAAAAAAGAUCACAUCCGAAGGCUGAAGGAACUGGUUUCCGCCAAAGCCGGAGCCAUGGAGGGAGGCGGCGCAUCCCUCCGCUGCUCCACCAUCAUGGCGACCUACGCUUACGUUUGGGUGUGCCUAGUCAAAGCACGAGCAUACGGAAGCGACCGGGCAGCCCACUUCAUAUUUGCUGCCGACUGCAGAGGAAGGCUGAGGCCCCCUCUGCCGGCGGCGUACUUCGGGAACUGCAUCGGCGUCUG
This 3088-nucleotide long non-coding RNA is filed under the name Musa acuminata (dwarf banana). RNAcentral's name for it is "long non-coding RNA (MACU_LNC002546)". Lineage: Eukaryota; Viridiplantae; Streptophyta; Magnoliopsida; Zingiberales; Musaceae. The record is from RNAcentral.